Molecule: transfer RNA, 69 nt
Filed under: Rattus norvegicus (Norway rat)
Lineage: Eukaryota; Metazoa; Chordata; Mammalia; Rodentia; Muridae
Rfam family: tRNA
About the family: Transfer RNA (tRNA) molecules are approximately 80 nucleotides in length. Their secondary structure includes four short double-helical elements and three loops (D, anti-codon, and T loops). Further hydrogen bonds mediate the characteristic L-shaped molecular structure. tRNAs have two regions of fundamental functional importance: the anti-codon, which is responsible for specific mRNA codon recognition, and the 3' end, to which the tRNAs corresponding amino acid is attached (by aminoacyl-tRNA synthetases). tRNAs cope with the degeneracy of the genetic code in two manners: having more than one tRNA (with a specific anti-codon) for a particular amino acid; and 'wobble' base-pairing, i.e. permitting non-standard base-pairing at the 3rd anti-codon position.
Source: Rfam by way of RNAcentral
GGGGAUUUAGCUCAGUGGUAGGGCGCUUGCCUAGCAAGCGCAAGGCCCUGGGUUCGGUUCCCAGCUCCG